Molecule: ribosomal RNA, 256 nt
Filed under: uncultured Gardnerella sp.
Lineage: Bacteria; Bacillati; Actinomycetota; Actinomycetes; Bifidobacteriales; Bifidobacteriaceae
Description: partial 16S ribosomal RNA
Rfam family: Bacterial small subunit ribosomal RNA
Source: RNAcentral
CUAACGGGUGAGUAAUGCGUGACCAACCUGCCCCAUGCUCCAGAAUAGCUCUUGGAAACGGGUGGUAAUGCUGGAUGCUCCAACUUGACGCAUGUCUUGUUGGUAAAGUGUUUAGUGGCAUGGGAUGGGGUCGCGUCCUAUCAGCUUGUAGGCGGGGUAAUGGCCCACCUAGGCUUCGACGGGUAGCCGGCCUGAGAGGGCGGACGGCCACAUUGGGACUGAGAUACGGCCCAGACUCCUACGGGAGGCAGCAGCC